UACGAAGGGGGCUAGCGUUGUUCGGAAUUACUGGGCGUAAAGCGCACGUAGGCGGAUUAGUAAGUCAGGGGUGAAAUCCCGGGGCUCAACCUCGGAACUGCCUUUGAUACUGCUGAUCUCGAGUCCGGAAGAGGUGAGUGGAAUUCCUAGUGUAGAGGUGAAAUUCGUAGAUAUUAGGAAGAUCACCAGUGGCGAAGGCGGAUCACUGGUCCGGUACUGACGCUGAGGUGCGAAAGCGUGUGGAGCAAACAUG
RNAcentral lists this ribosomal RNA (253 nucleotides) under uncultured bacterium. RNAcentral describes it as "partial 16S ribosomal RNA". It matches the Rfam family "Bacterial small subunit ribosomal RNA", at positions 524 to 776 of the family's 1533-position model. The record is from RNAcentral.